Podarcis lilfordi (Lilford's wall lizard) is the source of this 80-nucleotide non-coding RNA. The record is from the annotation of a GenBank genome assembly. NCBI's taxonomy places the organism in Eukaryota, Metazoa, Chordata, Lepidosauria, Squamata, Lacertidae.
GCCUGGAUAGCUCAGGAUAGAGUGGUUAGAGUGUGGUGCUGAUUAUGCCAAGGUCGCAGGUUCAAUCCCCAUAUGGGACA